RNAcentral lists this ribosomal RNA (819 nucleotides) under Sphaerellopsis isthmospora. RNAcentral describes it as "partial large subunit ribosomal RNA". It matches the Rfam family "Eukaryotic large subunit ribosomal RNA", at positions 82 to 919 of the family's 3401-position model. Lineage: Eukaryota; Fungi; Ascomycota; Dothideomycetes; Pleosporales; Leptosphaeriaceae. The record is from RNAcentral.
AGUAACGGCGAGUGAAGCGGCAACAGCUCAAAUUUGAAAUCUGGCUCUUUCAGGGUCCGAGUUGUAAUUUGCAGAGGGCGCUUUGGUGUUGGCAGCGGUCCAAGUUCCUUGGAACAGGACGUCACAGAGGGUGAGAAUCCCGUACGUGGUCGCUAGCCUCCGCCGUGUAAAGCCCCUUCGACGAGUCGAGUUGUUUGGGAAUGCAGCUCUAAAUGGGAGGUAAAUUUCUUCUAAAGCUAAAUACUGGCCAGAGACCGAUAGCGCACAAGUAGAGUGAUCGAAAGAUGAAAAGCACUUUGGAAAGAGAGUCAAAUAGCACGUGAAAUUGUUGAAAGGGAAGCGCUUGCAGCCAGACUUGCCUGUAGUUGCUCAUCCGGGCUUUUGCCCGGUGCACUCUUCUGCGGGCAGGCCAGCAUCAGUUUGGGCGGUUGGAUAAAGGUCUCUGUCAUGUACCUCUCUUCGGGGAGGCCUUAUAGGGGAGACGACAUGCAACCAGCCUGGACUGAGGUCCGCGCAUUUGCUAGGAUGCUGGCGUAAUGGCUGUAAGCGGCCCGUCUUGAAACACGGACCAAGGAGUCUAACAUCUAUGCAAGUGUUUGGGUGUCAAGCCCGAACGCGUAAUGAAAGUGAACGGAGGUGGGAACCCUUUAGGGUGCACCAUCGACCGAUCCUGAUGUCUUCGGAAGGAUUUGAGUAAGAGCAUGGCUGUUGGGACCCGAAAGAUGGUGAACUAUGCUUGAAUAGGGUGAAGCCAGAGGAAACUCUGGUGGAGGCUCGCAGCGGUUCUGACGUGCAAAUCGAUCGUCAAAUUUGGGCAUA